RNAcentral lists this ribosomal RNA (473 nucleotides) under uncultured bacterium. RNAcentral describes it as "bacterial SSU rRNA". It matches the Rfam family "Bacterial small subunit ribosomal RNA", at positions 897 to 1382 of the family's 1533-position model. The record is from RNAcentral.
AAACUUAAAGGAAUUGACGGGGACCCGCACAAGCGGUGGAACAUGUGGUUUAAUUCGACGCAAAGCGAAAAACCUCACCAAGGUUUGACAUACCAAUCGUAUCCCUAAGAAACUAGGGAGUCAGUUCGGCUGGAUUGGAUACAGGUGUUGCAUGGCUGUCGUCAGCUCGUGUCGUGAGAUGUCGGGUUAAGUCCUUUAACGAGCGCAACCCUCAUUGCAUGUUAAUUUUUCAUGCGAGACUGCCCUGGUUAACAGGGAGGAAGGUGGGGAUGACGUCAAGUCAGCAUGGCCCUUACACCUUGGGCUACACACGUGUUACAAUGGCCGGUACAAUAAGUCGCAAUACCGCAAGGUGGAGCUAAUCUAUGAAAACCGGUCCCAGUUCGGAUUGGGGGCUGAAACUCGCCCCCAUGAAGUUGGAAUCGCUAGUAACCGUGAAUCAGCACGUCACGGUGAAUACGUUCCCGGGUCUU